UACGGGGGGGGCAAGCGUUGUUCGGAAUUACUGGGCGUAAAGGGUUUGUAGGUGGCCGGCUAAGUCAGACGUGAAAUCCCUCAGCUUAACUGGGGAACUGCGUCUGAAACUGAUCGGCUCGAGUGCAGGAGAGGAACGCGGAAUUCCAGGUGUAGCGGUGAAAUGCGUAGAUAUCUGGAGGAAUACCGGUGGCGAAGGCGGCAUCCUGGACCAACACUGACGCUGAGGCGCGAAAGCUAGGGGAGCAAACGGG
Molecule: ribosomal RNA, 253 nt
Filed under: uncultured bacterium
Lineage: Bacteria
Description: partial 16S ribosomal RNA
Rfam family: Bacterial small subunit ribosomal RNA
Source: RNAcentral